CGCACUUUUUAUAGUGCUGGCAGACGCAAGUCCGACGUGAUUUUCAUCACUGCCCGUUCUGGGCUUUGGGAUUGC
Methanospirillum hungatei JF-1 is the source of this 75-nucleotide regulatory RNA element. It matches the Rfam family "S15-Methanomicrobia ribosomal protein leader". NCBI's taxonomy places the organism in Archaea, Methanobacteriati, Methanobacteriota, Methanomicrobia, Methanomicrobiales, Methanospirillaceae. The record is from Rfam.